AUGUUCUACCAGCUGCCUGCCUUUCUUUUCCAGGAGGAGCAGAGAAGGUUAAAAAACCUAUUUAUGGUUGAAGAUUCCUUCCCAUUCACACUGUACUACAGUUAUGGAUCCCACAGAAGGGUCGACUGCCAUCUUAUUUUGAAUCCUAGGAGAGUUGGAUACAAGAAUGAAAGACAAAGACCUAUUCCAUUGAAGACAGUGAGAAAUUUCGGAGAUAUGGUGCUGCAUGGAGCUACUUUCCAAAUGUUCAGAUCCCUUAUUUAAGCAACAGUUAACAAACUAGAGUUUGGGAACUGCUUGAGAGUUCAGGCUGCCAUCAUGCCAAACCCAUGGAAACUGGAUAUGUUUCUGUGGUGACUUUAAUCUGGACCACACAUAGGAACAGGUUAAGCCAGAUUAUAUUGGCCAUCUGUCCAAGUCACACUAGGAUGUGAGGCAUCCACUAUUUCCUGACCUAACAACAGUUUGGAGAUCCCCAGAUUGAAAAGUAUGUCAUUGAAGUCUUGUGGUGUAGACCAAGGCUUAGGACCACCUGACUAAUCCAUAGCAAUCUUUGGACUUUCCCUUUGCUAGAAUUGAAGUACCUCUGGGAAGCCUUCCCUAAUGGUCAUGGUUGUUAAGCCUCACAAUGGACAGCGACUGCUCACUUUUCUGAACUUCUGAACCUAUUGUGUUCCUCUGGGAAUACAAUGCAUACCCAGUUGUCCUUCAUCUUCUC
RNAcentral lists this long non-coding RNA (718 nucleotides) under Homo sapiens (human). RNAcentral's name for it is "HSALNT0081272". Lineage: Eukaryota; Metazoa; Chordata; Mammalia; Primates; Hominidae. The record is from RNAcentral.